RNAcentral lists this transfer RNA (74 nucleotides) under Dipodomys ordii (Ord's kangaroo rat). It matches the Rfam family "tRNA". From Rfam's summary of the family: Transfer RNA (tRNA) molecules are approximately 80 nucleotides in length. Their secondary structure includes four short double-helical elements and three loops (D, anti-codon, and T loops). Lineage: Eukaryota; Metazoa; Chordata; Mammalia; Rodentia; Heteromyidae. The record is from Rfam by way of RNAcentral.
GGGAAUGUGGCUUAGUGGUAGGUAGAGUACAUGCCUAGCAUGCAUGAAGCCCUAGGUUCUAUUCCUCAGUACCU